This is an RNA transcript of Populus trichocarpa (black cottonwood), 1542 nucleotides long. It is a transcript of the gene named peptidyl-prolyl cis-trans isomerase CYP40, with no coding region annotated. Lineage: Eukaryota; Viridiplantae; Streptophyta; Magnoliopsida; Malpighiales; Salicaceae. The record is from RefSeq and is a predicted model, not a curated record. The transcript is spliced from 10 exons.
AGAGACGAGCGCACUGCCCUUCACAGCUCGCUUCUCUUUUAGAGUUCAAAAAAAUAAGAAAGCGGGUUUUAGGGUUUUUGAGUUGAGAGAUAAAAAAGAUAGAAAGAGUGAUGGCAAAGCCAAGAUGUUAUUUAGAUAUAAGUAUAGGAGGAGAGCUAGAAGGGAGAAUAGUGGUGGAGUUAUACAAAGAUGUUGUCCCUAAAACUGCGGAGAACUUCAGGGCUUUGUGCACCGGUGAAAAAGGCAUUGGACCCAACACUGGUGUCCCUCUUCAUUACAAGGGGGGUCGUUUUCAUCGUGUUGUCAGAGGUUUUAUGAUACAAGGUGGUGACAUAUCAGCAGGGGAUGGAACUGGAGGAGAAUCUAUAUAUGGAUUGAAAUUUGAGGAUGAAAACUUUGAGUUGAAACAUGAAAGAAAAGGAAUGUUGUCAAUGGCUAAUAUGGGCCCUGACACCAAUGGAUCUCAGUUUUUUAUCACAACCACUCGAACUUCUCAUCUAGAUGGAAAGCAUGUUGUUUUUGGGAAGGUAACCAAAGGAAUGGGAGUGGUUCGUUCUAUUGAGCACGUUGUGACUGAGGGAGGUGAUUCUCCCUCUCAAGAAACAGUAAUUGUUGAUUGCGGGGAAAUUCCUGAAGGAGAGGACGAUGGGAUAUCUGACUUCUUUAAAGACGGUGAUACUUAUCCUGAUUGGCCGGCAGACCUAGACAUGAAGCCAGAUGAGAUUUCUUGGUGGAUGAAGGCAGUUGAUUCGAUCAAAGCUUUUGGAAACGAACAGUACAAGAAGCAAGACUGUAAGAUGGCUCUUCGAAAGUAUCGUAAGGCUUUGCGCUACCUGGAUGUUUGUUGGGAGAAGGAAGACAUUGAUGAAGAGAAGAGCUCAUCACUGAGGAAGACAAAGUCUCAGAUAUUUACAAAUAGCUCUGCUUGUAAACUGAAGCUUGGAGAUAUUAAAGGAGCAUUAUUGGACACAGACUUUGCCAUGCGUGAUGGAGAAGACAAUGCAAAAGCUUUUUUCCGCCAAGGCCAGGCAUAUAUGGCACUCAAUGACAUAGACGCUGCAGUUGCAAGCUUCAAGAAGGCUCUAGACUUGGAGCCCAAUGAUGGAGGAAUAAAGAAAGAGCUUGCCAGUGCUAGGAAGAAGAUUGCUGAUAGGCAUGAUCAGGAGAAAAGGGCCUAUGCUAGAAUGUUUCAAUAGUGUGUUCAGCUGGUAACCUGGUUAUUACCUGUUGUUUGGUCCGUUCACUUUUGAUUUCUCACAUGUGAGGUUGUAUAAUCAACGGUUUACGGGUCUCUGUCUGCGUAAUCAUCAGGUUUUCUUUUGAGGACAUAUAAAGCUGCCAGAUCUUUGGAGAGGGCCUUAUUUUUACCCUUGAGAAGGCAAAUUGGAAAGGCACUGAUUUUGCUCUAAAUGAUGGUUCAGUUUUUUGGUUAUACUUUGUGUACUGGCCGAAGCUUGUCUCUGCUACUUUACAUACUCAAAUUGAAUCGUCUAGUUUAUACAAUGGAUAUUUUCAUUUCAAAUGCAUGACUUUUGUUUGUCA